Molecule: RNA transcript, 4122 nt
Organism: Zea mays
Lineage: Eukaryota; Viridiplantae; Streptophyta; Magnoliopsida; Poales; Poaceae
Gene name: PLN03140 superfamily - NB-ARC domain superfamily pseudogene
Exons: 6
Source: RefSeq, marked validated
GAGGAUCUCAUCAGCACGCUCUCCGGCGCGGCGGCGGCCCUUCCUUCGAGACUAGGAGCUCGCCGUCGGAGUCAUCCCCUUCCCCAAUCCCUGCGACGCGUUCGGCCGGUCCGUGCGGGAGGAGGACGACGAUGAGGCGCUGCGCUGGGCGGCCAUCGAGCAGCUGCCCAUCUACGACCGCAUGCGCAAGGGCAUCCUCACGGGGGCCGCGGCCGGCGUCGAGGAGGUGGACAUCCAGGGGCUCGGCAUGCAGGAGCGCAAGAACCUCAUCGAGCGCCUCGUGCGCACCGCCGAGGAGGACAACGAGCGCUUCCUGCUCAAGCUCCGCGACCGCAUGGAGCGGUGAGUAAAAGAAAGAAAAAAAAGUUCAGCUCUUAUUUGAAUCCUUGGUCACCGGUGAAGUGAAGAGAAAUUCAGAAAGCGAUUGUAAAUUGACCUGCAGGGUUGGGAUCGAUAAUCCGACGAUAGAGGUGCGUUUUGAGAACCUGAACAUCGACGCCGAGGCCUACGUCGGCAACCGAGGUGUCCCCACGAUGACCAACUUCUUCUCCAACAAAGUCAUGGAUGUACUAAGUGCUAUGCACAUCGUCUCUAGCGGGAAGAGGCCUGUCUCCAUCGUUCACGAUAUCAGUGGGGUCAUAAGACCCGGCAGGUAAGAAGCCAAAGAAUUUUAAAGUGCAAGGUUUUCAGUUUUUCUGUAGUUGUACUUACUAACUGGCACUUCGUUCAGAAUGUGAACGUCCUUGCUGCUUGGACCUCCUGGAUCUGGGAAAACAAGUCUACUUCUGGCUUUGGCAGGGAAACUUGACUCCAAUCUGAAGGUGUCAGGAAGAGUGACUUACAAUGGUCAUGACAUGGAUGAAUUUGUCCCUCAGAGGACAUCGGCAUACAUCAGGCGGCACGAUGUUCACGUCGGCGAAAUGACGGUCCGGGAAACACUUGCCUUUUCUGCAAGAUGUCAAGGAGUCGGAACGCGUUAUGGUAUGUAAACACAGACAUUGGAAAGGAACACAGAUAAUUAUUCACCUUCGGGGUGAACCUGAUGGUGUUUUCAAAUUACGCAGACAUGCUUACUGAGCUUUCAAGAAGGGAGAAAGAAGCCAACAUUAAAACCAGAUCCUGAUGUCGAUGUUUACAUGAAGGCUAUCUCCGUGGAAGGUCAGGAGAGCGUGGUUACAGAUUACAUCCUCAAGAUUCUGGGUCUGGAGAUCUGUGCGGAUACAAUGGUUGGAGACUCUAUGAUCAGAGGUAUCUCAGGAGGACAAAAGAAGCGUGUCACAACCGAACGAUGGCACAGCAACAGCUUCUUUCUUGCUAACCAUUGCUAGACAUAACUUGACGAAAAGAAUAGAGCACAUAGAAAACGUUCUCAAUGAUUUGAAGAAAUCACAUCUGUUGAACCAGCAAAGCAGCAGCAGCAGCAGUAAGAAAGAAAGGAGUAGCAGGCAUGAGGAUAUUGAGUACCUGUACAGAAGCAUUGAGCGGAAGGUAAUUGGUCGAGAUAAGGAGCGUGAGAAGCUUAUCAGUAUGCUUCGUAGGGGACCUGGUCCGGAGACACCAAGCUCCAGUAGCAGUAAACAUUAUUCUGUGAUUGGUAUAUAUGGCAUUGCAGGGUCUGGGAAGAGUACCCUGGCACAAUAUGUCUGUGAUUAUGAGAAGGCCGAAGGCCAACAUUUUGACCCUGUCAUGUUCAUUCAUGUGUCUCAGACAUUUAGGGUGGAUAAGAUAUUUCGUGACAUGCUGAGGGAGAUCAGGAAGGACAGGCAAUCUGACAGCAACAGUGUUAAAUGCCUACACGAUGAGCUGAAGGAAAAUGCUUCUUGUUGGUACUGGAUGAUCUCUGGGUCACUCGUGAGAAUCAGGAGGAGCGUGCUAUUCUACUUAAUGUGCUCGAUGCUGGGCAGAGUGGAAGUCGGGUUCUGGUGACAGCUCAGAAGAAAGAUGUAGCUGCAGCGAUAGGCGCUGAGGAGCAGAUCCCGAUUCCGGAUAUGGAAGAGAAGCAGUACUUUUCGAUGUUCAUGCACUACGCCCUAGAAGGCAAGCGUGUUGGUGACGGAAGGUUUAUAGCAAUAGGGAGAAAAAUCGCGAAAAAGCUCGGCAGAUCACCCAUUGCAGCAGUCACAGUGGCAGCACGGCUUCGGAGCAACAGCAGCAUCGAUUUCUGGGAGACAACAGCGAACCUUGACAUGUUGGACGAAACAAUGGGAGCUCUGUGGUGGAGCUAUCAGCAGAUAGGUGUAGACGUCCGGCGAUGCUUUGCAUACUGCAGCACUUUUCCCAGAGGAUACAGGUUAGUACGAGGCGAGUUGGUUCACAUCUGGAUAGUGCAAGGGUUCAUAAACACCAGGGUUAAUGCAACUGAGCAACCAGAAGAUAUAGGCCUGCACUACAUUAACGAACUGCGGACCUUCUCAUUUCUGCAGAUAGAAAGAACAGUUUUUGGCACUGAAACGGAGGCGUUCACGAUUCAUGACCUGCUACACGAGUUGGCAGAGAGGGUCAGCGGAAGCGAAUGCUUCAGAGUUGUUUCAAAUAGCUCACCAAAACAUAUUCCGCAGGAGGUUCGCCAUCUCUUUGUUGGCACUGGGACUGACAGUAGAGCAGCUAUCGCAAAGAAAAUUCUAGGUCUGGUAAAUCUACGCACUCUCAUCAUCGUCGAAGAGUACAGCGAAAACAAGAGGAAAACAUUUGCAGCUGAAGAUGAUGAGGAACGGUCAGGCCGCACCUUAGUUAACGAGGAAGUCUUGGGCAGAAUGUUCAGGAGCCUGAGGAAACUGCGGGCGCUGGUCGUUACAACGAAACAGUACCAUGAACCAGCGUUGUUAGUCCCAGCAUCUAUCGAUUAGAUGAAGCAUCUGCGUUAUCUAAGCUUUAAUCUGGACUGUUCUCAUCGCAGUGUGGAGCUUAUUUUCCCAAGCACAUUUAGCAAACUUUACCAUAUGCAGAGCAUAUAUAGUGAGAAAAUUUCCUGCGCCAAAGACGUGACACAAAAUCUCACUUCCUUGCGGCACAGCUCUUCGUCGUGGAUGGGAUUUGCAAACGUUGGCAGGCUGACGUCGCUCCAAUCGCUACGGUACUUCCAAGUGAAGAGAGAACAGGGGCACGAACUGAAGCAGCUGAAGCACCUGAACAACCUUCGAGGCACUCUGGCGAUUGACGGUCUGGGGGUCGUCAGAAGCAAAGAGGAAGCUCUUGAAGCACACCUAGCCAGCAAGGAACAACUAAGGAAACUGGAGCUGACAUUCUCUGUCCGUUAGGCGGGGGAUCCGAACGCCGUGGCAGAGAUACUUAACCGCCUUUUACCGCCGGAGGAUCCAACCAACCAUAGGUACCAUGGCUGGAUGAUGGGAGGCCAGGCUCCAGACGUUGCUGCAGAGGUCCUUGAGGGCCUUUGCCCCCCGAAGGAUCUUGCAACACUCACAAUCAACCGCUACAAGGGUUCGAGGUACCCUAGCUGGAUGCUGAGUAGCCAGAGUCCAGGAGCGCUGAAGUACCUGCAAGAGCUUGAGCUCCAUAACUGCAACCGAUUGGCAUCUUUUCCUGAAGAAGAGACCGAGCUGUUCAGUUGUCUGCGUGAGCUACUGAGCUUCGAGUUAGCUUGUGCGACUGGGACAGCAUGCCAGAAAAUAUGGAGCCCCUUGUUUCGCUCCAGAGUGUAUUGAUUAUGAGGUGCGAUAGGAUGGAGCGCCUUCCAACCCUGCCCCGGUCGCUUGCGAAGGUUGAAAUCCAUGGGUGCCGCGUCCUCAGUAGAACCUGCCAAUCAGAGGGACACGAGAACUGGCAGAAGAUCCUGCACAUUCCAGAGAAAAAUAUAUCCCCAAGAAGGAGCAUGGCGCAGUGAGGGAGGGAGGACGAUGAGACCACUGUUUCCAUGUUUACCAGCGACAACUGACCUGGGAUUGUAAUAUGCAUCCAUUAACUGAGGAUUGUUCUUAUACGUUUGUGAUGAAUCCACCUGACAAUCUUUUUUUUUUGAAAAUAGGUACACUAGCUAUUAUUAUCAGUAUUAUUGGAAGUGUACUUAAUGGAUGAUCAGAUCUUUUUUAUUCUCUCUAUUUGGGGAACUUUCUUGUAAGACUUUUUCGUCUCUCUAAAUAUAUAAAGAUGUGCAGCUUUCCUGCU